Molecule: ribosomal RNA, 466 nt
Filed under: uncultured bacterium
Lineage: Bacteria
Description: partial 16S ribosomal RNA
Rfam family: Bacterial small subunit ribosomal RNA
Source: RNAcentral
GAUGAACGCUGGCGGCGUGCUUAACACAUGCAAGUCGAACGGAAAGGCUCCUGCUUGCCGGGGUACUCGAGUGGCGAAAGGGUGAGUAACACGUGGGUGAUCUGCCCUGCACUUUGGGAUAAGCCUGGGAAACUGGGUCUAAUACCGGAUAGGUCGAUGGUUUGGAUGCCAUUGUGGAAAGGUUUUUCGGUGUGGGAUGAGCUCGCGGCCUAUCAGCUUGUUGGUGGGGUAAGGGCCUACCAAGGCGUCGACGGGUAGCCGGCCUGAGAGGGUGUACGGCCACAUUGGGACUGAGAUACGGCCGAGACUCCUACGGGAGGCAGCAGUGAGGAAUAGUGCGCAAGGGGCGGAAGCCUGAUGCAGCGACGCCGCGUGGGGGAUGACGGCCUUCGGGUUGUAAACGGCUUUCGCUAGGGACGAAGCGCAAGUGAGGGUACCUGGAGAAGAAGCACCGGCUAACUACGUG